GAUGAACGCUGGCGGCGUGCUUAACACAUGCAAGUCGAACGAAGCACUUUAACCUGAUUCUUCGGAUGAAGGUUUUUGUGACUGAGUGGCGGACGGGUGAGUAACGCGUGGGUAACCUGCCUCAUACAGGGGGAUAACAGUUAGAAAUGACUGCUAAUACCGCAUAAGACCACAGAGCCGCAUGGCUCGGUGGGAAAAACUCGGGUGGGAUGAGAUGGACCCGCGUCUGAUUAGGUAGUUGGUGGGGUAACGGCCUACCAAGCCAACGAUCAGUAGCCGAGCUGAGAGGGUGACCGGCCACAUUGGGGCUGAGACACGGCCCAAAAUCCUACGGGAGGCAGCAGUGGGGAAUAUUGCACAAUGGGGGAAACCCUGAUGCAGCGACGCCGGGUGAGCGAAGAAGUAUUUCGGUAAGUAAAGCUCUAUCAGAAGGGGAGAGAAUGACGGUACCUGACGAAGAAGCACCGGCUAAAUACGUG
RNAcentral lists this ribosomal RNA (479 nucleotides) under uncultured bacterium. Its description in RNAcentral is "partial 16S ribosomal RNA". It matches the Rfam family "Bacterial small subunit ribosomal RNA", at positions 28 to 507 of the family's 1533-position model. The record is from RNAcentral.